GAACCUUCAGAUUUCAGAUUUGAUUAGGGUUUUAGCGUCUUCGGACCAGGCUUCAUUCCCCCCAAUUGUUGCUCCCUGUUUACUCCAUAUUUCUUCCUUCUUUUCAAAUUAGGGUUUCAGAUCCAGUAAUGAACCCUUGUUAAAGGUUUGAUCUCUUACCUUACUUUCUCAGAUUCAUUUACAUGCGUUAUUGAUUGUUUGCAUGGAAAGAAAUAGUUUUCUUUUUUAAAUAGGUCUUUGGGGACCGAUAGAAAAAAAAAGUUUUCAGGUAUUUGCAGAUUGGUGUAAUGAUGAAAGGAUCUGACUUUCUUUCUCCUCUUGGAAUCUGAAAAGUUUCAUCAUGACAAACUUUUUAUACAUGUGUUUGUAUUUUUGAACUUUUCUACAUUGCUAUGAUUUUGCUAUGAUUGUUUCUUUUUGGAUCUUCAUGGUAUUGAAUGAUGAUGACAAUGAUAGUUUUUAUUCA
This 466-nucleotide non-coding RNA is filed under the name Arabidopsis thaliana (thale cress). The record is from RNAcentral. Lineage: Eukaryota; Viridiplantae; Streptophyta; Magnoliopsida; Brassicales; Brassicaceae.